This 72-nucleotide transfer RNA is filed under the name Camelus bactrianus (Bactrian camel). It matches the Rfam family "tRNA". From Rfam's summary of the family: Transfer RNA (tRNA) molecules are approximately 80 nucleotides in length. Their secondary structure includes four short double-helical elements and three loops (D, anti-codon, and T loops). Further hydrogen bonds mediate the characteristic L-shaped molecular structure. tRNAs have two regions of fundamental functional importance: the anti-codon, which is responsible for specific mRNA codon recognition, and the 3' end, to which the tRNAs corresponding amino acid is attached (by aminoacyl-tRNA synthetases). tRNAs cope with the degeneracy of the genetic code in two manners: having more than one tRNA (with a specific anti-codon) for a particular amino acid; and 'wobble' base-pairing, i.e. permitting non-standard base-pairing at the 3rd anti-codon position. Lineage: Eukaryota; Metazoa; Chordata; Mammalia; Artiodactyla; Camelidae. RNAcentral also lists the same sequence under 1 other name. The record is from Rfam by way of RNAcentral.
GAGGGUAUAGCUCAGUAGUAGAGUGCAUGCCUAGCAUGCACGAGGUCCUGGGUUCAAUCACCAGUAUCUCCA